RNAcentral lists this long non-coding RNA (522 nucleotides) under Mytilus galloprovincialis (Mediterranean mussel). The record is from RNAcentral. Lineage: Eukaryota; Metazoa; Mollusca; Bivalvia; Mytilida; Mytilidae.
CUCUUAUAUCAAAGAAAUUGUACAUAUUCAUUCAUUUAGAUAUCAUGAUAUCAUAUGUAAUCCUGUAAAUAAUGCCAUUGUAUCAGACAUCUGUAGGGGUAUUUUAGUAGAAUUUUUUUAAGGAUGUAUAUACACAGCAAGUUAGCCUCGUAUACCGUCUCAUCUUGAGUAUCAAACUGAAAAUAUUGAUUAUAACAAGCAAAGUUUAACCUUCAUUCCAUCAUUUGAUAAUAUCUGGUACAUAAUAUAUUGACAGUUUUCAAUAGUCCCAGAUGGUGUUUAUCUUGUAUAUAUGUACAAAAAAAUGUGCUUUCUUUCCAUUUUUGUUUUUGUUUUAACAUUUAAAGCAUUUACGUCACUAAAUUCUUGUAGGUUUAAACAAAAAAAAGUUUUCUUCGUUGCUGUUUGAUCAAUUUUGUAAAUGUAUAUUAUAUAUAUAUAUAGCUGUUUGUCCGAUUAUUGUUACAGCCAUUGUAGUGUUUGUAUAUUGAUUCACAAACUUCGGAGGCUUACGGCACGGAG